RNAcentral lists this ribosomal RNA (301 nucleotides) under uncultured bacterium. RNAcentral describes it as "partial 16S ribosomal RNA". It matches the Rfam family "Bacterial small subunit ribosomal RNA", at positions 509 to 807 of the family's 1533-position model. The record is from RNAcentral.
CAGCCGCCGCGGUAAUACGAAGGGUGCAAGCGUUACUCGGAAUUACUGGGCGUAAAGCGUGCGUAGGUGGUGGUUUAAGUCCGUUGUGAAAGCCCUGGGCUCAACCUGGGAAUUGCAGUGGAUACUGGGUCACUAGAGUGUGGUAGAGGAUGGUGGAAUUCCCGGUGUAGCGGUGAAAUGCGUAGAGAUCGGGAGGAACAUCAGUGGCGAAGGCGGCCAUCUGGGACAACACUGACGCUGAGGCACGAAAGCGUGGGGAGCAAACAGGAUUAGAUACCCGCGUAGUCCCUGUCUCUUAUAC